GGAAGCAGAACUCGAUGGUAGAGUAUCUCCCUUUUAAGGAGAGAGUCCUGGUUCAAGUCCAGGUGUUUUCA
Molecule: transfer RNA, 71 nt
Filed under: Taiwanofungus camphoratus
Lineage: Eukaryota; Fungi; Basidiomycota; Agaricomycetes; Polyporales; Taiwanofungaceae
Also listed under: 1 other name
Description: tRNA-Lys
Rfam family: tRNA
About the family: Transfer RNA (tRNA) molecules are approximately 80 nucleotides in length. Their secondary structure includes four short double-helical elements and three loops (D, anti-codon, and T loops).
Source: RNAcentral